AAUUAAUUAGCUUUUAUGAAAAGCAUAUGUUUUGAAAGCAUAAAAAAGAAGUUAAAUUCUUCUAUUAAUUU
Molecule: transfer RNA, 71 nt
Filed under: Anabropsis guangxiensis
Lineage: Eukaryota; Metazoa; Arthropoda; Insecta; Orthoptera; Anostostomatidae
Also listed under: 3 other names
Description: tRNA-Ser
Rfam family: tRNA
About the family: Transfer RNA (tRNA) molecules are approximately 80 nucleotides in length. Their secondary structure includes four short double-helical elements and three loops (D, anti-codon, and T loops).
Source: RNAcentral